Molecule: long non-coding RNA, 5404 nt
Organism: Oncorhynchus keta (chum salmon)
Lineage: Eukaryota; Metazoa; Chordata; Actinopteri; Salmoniformes; Salmonidae
Exons: 6
Source: RefSeq, a predicted model, not a curated record
GAUAGAAUCUAUUCCAAGGUGCAUUGAAGCUGUUCUUGCUCGUGGUGCCUAAUGUCCUAUUACGACACUGAUAUAAUCUAUUCCAAGGUGCAUUGAAGCUGUUCUGGCUCGUGGUGCCUAAUGUCCUAUUACGACACUGAUAGAAUCUAUUCCAAGGUGCAUUGAAGCUGUUCUUGCUCGUGGUGCCUAAUGUCCUAUUACGACACUGAUAGAAUCUAUUCCAAGGUGCAUUGAAGCUGUUCUGGCUCGUGGUGCCUAAUGUCCUAUUACGACACUGAUAGAAUCUAUUCCAAGGUGCAUUGAAGCUGUUCUUGCUCGUGGUGCCUAAUGUCCUAUUACGACACUGAUAGAAUCUAUUCCAAGGUGCAUUGAAGCUGUUCUGGCUCGUGGUGCCAGAUGUCCUAUUACGACACUGAUAGAAUCUAUUCCAAGGUGCAUUGAAGCUGUUCUGGCUCGUGGUGGCCUAAUGUCCUAUUACGACACUUAUAGAAUCUAUUCCAAGGUGCAUUGAAGCUGUUCUGGCUCGUGGUGGCCUAAUGUCCUAUUACGACACUUAUAGAAUCUAUUCCAAGGUGCAUUGAAGCUGUUCUGGCUCGUGGUGCCUAAUGUCCUAUUACGACACUUAUAGAAUCUAUUCCAAGGUGCAUUGAAGCUGUUCUGGCUCGUGGUGGCCUAAUGUCCUAUUACGACACUUAUAGAAUCUAUUCCAAGGUGCAUUGAAGCUGUUCUGGCUCGUGGUGCCUAAUGUCCUAUUACGACACUUAUAGAAUCUAUUCCAAGGUGCAUUGAAGCGGUUCUGGCUCGUGGUGCCCAACGCCCUAUUACGACACUGAUAGAAUCUAUUCCAAGGUGCAUUGAAGCUGUUCUGGCUCGUGGUGCCUAAUGUCCUAUUACGACACUGAUAGAAUCUAUUCCAAGGUGCAUUGAAGCUGUUCUGGCUCGUGGUGCCUAAUGUCCUAUUACGACACUUAUAGAAUCUAUUCCAAGGUGCAUUGAAGCUGUUCUGGCUCGUGGUGCCUAAUGUCCUAUUACGACACUGAUAGAAUCUAUUCCAAGGUGCAUUGAAGCUGUUCUGGCUCGUGGUGCCUAAUGUCCUAUUACGACACUGAUAGAAUCUAUUCCAAGGUGCAUUGAAGCUGUUCUGGCUCGUGGUGCCUAAUGUCCUAUUACGACACUGAUAGAAUCUAUUCCAAGGUGCAUUGAAGCUGUUCUGGCUCGUGGUGCCUAAUGUCCUAUUACGACACUGAUAGAAUCUAUUCCAAGGUGCAUUGAAGCUGUUCUGGCUCGUGGUGCCUAAUGUCCUAUUACGACACUGAUAGAAUCUAUUCCAAGGUGCAUUGAAGCUGUUCUGGCUCGUGGUGCCUAAUGUCCUAUUACGACACUUAUAGAAUCUAUUCCAAGGUGCAUUGAAGCUGUUCUGGCUCGUGGUGCCUAAUGUCCUAUUACGGCACUUAUAGAAUCUAUUCCAAGGUGCAUUGAAGCUGUUCUGGCUCGUGGUGCCUAAUGUCCUAUUACGACACUUAUAGAAUCUAUUCCAAGGUGCAUUGAAGCUGUUCUUGCUCGUGGUGGCCUAAUGUCCUAUUACGACACUUAUAGAAUCUAUUCCAAGGUGCAUUGAAGCUGUUCUGGCUCGUGGUGGCCUAAUGUCCUAUUACGGCACUUAUAGAAUCUAUUCCAAGGUGCAUUGAAGCUGUUCUGGCUCGUGGUGCCUAAUGUCCUAUUACGACACUGAUAGAAUCUAUUCCAAGGUGCAUUGAAGCUGUUCUGGCUCGUGGUGCCUAAUGUCCUAUUACGACACUGAUAGAAUCUAUUCCAAGGUGCAUUGAAGCUGUUCUUGCUCGUGGUGCCUAAUGUCCUAUUACGACACUUAUAGAAUCUAUUCCAAGGUGCAUUGAAGCUGUUCUGGCUCGUGGUGGCCUAAUGUCCUAUUACGACACUUAUAGAAUCUAUUCCAAGGUGCAUUGAAGCUGUUCUGGCUCGUGGUGCCUAAUGUCCUAUUACGACACUUAUAGAAUCUAUUCCAAGGUGCAUUGAAGCUGUUCUGGCUCGUGGUGCCUAAUGUCCUAUUACGACACUGAUAGAAUCUAUUCCAAGGUGCAUUGAAGCUGUUCUGGCUCGUGGUGCCUAAUGUCCUAUUACGACACUGAUAGAAUCUAUUCCAAGGUGCAUUGAAGCUGUUCUGGCUCGUGGUGCCUAAUGUCCUAUUACGACACUUAUAGAAUCUAUUCCAAGGUGCAUUGAAGCUGUUCUGGCUCGUGGUGCCUAAUGUCCUAUUACGGCACUUAUAGAAUCUAUUCCAAGGUGCAUUGAAGCUGUUCUGGCUCGUGGUGCCUAAUGUCCUAUUACGACACUGAUAGAAUCUAUUCCAAGGUGCAUUGAAGCUGUUCUGGCUCGUGGUGCCUAAUGUCCAAUUACAACACUUAUAGAAUCUAUUCCAAGGUGCAUUGAAGCUGUUCUGGCUCGUGGUGCCUAAUGUCCUAUUACGACACUUAUAGAAUCUAUUCCAAGGUGCAUUGAAGCUGUUCUGGCUCGUGGUGCCUAAUGUCCUAUUACGGCACUUAUAGAAUCUAUUCCAAGGUGCAUUGAAGCUGUUCUGGCUCGUGGUGCCUAAUGUCCAAUUACAACACUUAUAGAAUCUAUUCCAAGGUGCAUUGAAGCUGUUCUGGCUCGUGGUGCCUAAUGUCCUAUUACGACACUUUAUGUUGCCGUUUCCUUUAUUUUUAACCUGUAUAUGAAGUAUAUUAAAACAUUUUCAGAUAAACCACACGUUGGCAGUUUUUUUCCCUCAUUUGAUUACAUUACAUUCUGCAUAAUAAAUGUGUAACUGAAACACAUGAAAGUAGUCAGAAAAAGAAGCCAACUACCAACAUUUCUGCUAAACAUUCUAUGCUGCUCCUUUGUACACAAAGUGGUCCCCAUUGAAAGGAUGUCACUGUUUAUCCUUUAACUACUCAGCCAACUGACAUUUACUCCUGAGGUGCUGACCUGUUGCAGCCUCUACAACCACAGUGAUUAUUAUUAUUUGACCCUUCUGGUCAUCUAUGAACGUUUGAACAUCUUGGUCAUGUACUCUUAUCUCCACCCAGCACAGCCAGAAGAGGACUGGCCACCCCUCAGAGCCUGGUUCCUCUCGGUUAAUUCCUAGAUUCCUGCCGUUCUAGGGAGUUUUACAUCUGCAUUGCUUGCGGCUUGGGGUUUUAGGCAGAGUUCCUGUAUAGCACGUUGUAACAUUGGUUGGAGUAAAAAUGGCUUUAUAAAUACAUUUGAUUUAUUAUCAUUAUGAUGCCAUGACAACAAAGGAGUUGGUUAUAGCAGAAACAGACUGGCAUCCAGUCUGAAAAACCCUCAGUGAGACUUUAAUUGAAGUGUUGGUGAUAAAUGUCCAUUCACCAAAGCCAAUGGAGGCAUUGGGACCACUCCUUUAAGUAAAUGGUCACUACAACUUCAUAAAUGAACCCUCAAACUGAAUAUCAGCUGCAUACAUGACCUCCAGCUACUGAAAUACCACUGCUGAGACAGAGGGAAAAUAUAUUUCACUGACAAUUUGACUUUAAUGUUUCAAUUAAUUAAUCGCACUUGAAUGAGUUGGUAGACGACAUUAGAAUCUCAGCAUUAUUAGAUGCAUCAUCAAUUGGCAUGUCAAUAAUGGCCUUUGACUCCCAACUGUCCAUUACUGGGUUUAUCUAUCCAGACGAAGUGUUGACAUCUCAUCAAAACCCUCAACUUCGGAUCCUCAGCUGGAGUUCUGUCAUUUCACUUCUUAAUUAUGGAGAUGGAGUAGUUUCUCUUCUUCUUGUCCCUCUCCAACUCUAUCAAAAUCUCCAAGUGUCUCCAUAGUAACCCCUCUAUUUUGGCAACACUGUGCUCAGAGUGCUGUUAAAGCUGGAUAAUAAUGUUGUGUUUCCCUUCACAGGAUCCGAGCCCCACUAUAGAGGCUCUAUUUUAGUUACUCUUUCUGCACGUCUCGUCUUUAAAUAGGUCAAUAAGCAAUAGGAAAUACCCCAGUCUCCUGUGAAUUAUAUUUGGAGACAGGUCCCAAAAACAUUGUUCCUGCCCAAUAAAAGGAAAGUUUGGAUUUGUAUGCAGUUAGACUAUGUUCCUUUUCAUGUACUGAUUAAAUACUACAUGGCAAGAUUUUUUAGAUUUACAUUUUGACUCAAACAUCUACAGUAAUCCAUGAAUAAACUAUGGCUAGUAAGUCAAGAGGGCAAUGUAUUUUGUGCAUUUGAAUCAGAUCUCACGUCCCUGAAUAUGGUAACGGUGCAUAGCAUUAAGACAGAAUGUCCAAUAAAAACACUUAGUUAAGUGGGUUUUUAAUCCUGCAGUUUUCUUUGUUGUUUUCAGCGAUGAUUAUUUUUCUGUCCCUGGUGUAACACACCACAUACCUCAGCAGGGGAGCCUUUUGAAUGACAUGUCAGAGUUGGCAUGGACAACGACAGGCUAAUUGCUGUCUCCCUUUAGAUAAGAGAGGCCUUGCAUUUCCCCUCUUCCUCUCCCUGAUUUCUAUUUUCCAAAACUCUCACCACAUCCUAGCACCUCUGCUCCCAUUUGGUUCCUCUAGUGCAGCGGUUCCCAACCUUUUCCGUUACGGGGACAACCAAAUCACCAUCAAAAGCUUGAGGACCAACAUUCGCAGAGUCUAAAAAGAAUUCAACAUACAAUGAUUGCUAAAUAACAAAUUAAAAGCCUAUUAUUAAUUUGCAUUGUGAAAUGUAAAAUGGCUUAUAAUACCACUAAUACCCCCAACUGUUAGAAAUAUGGAAGAUGUUUAUUUUAUUGCAGAAAAUCUGCUGUAUACCUCUGCAGGCGGCAGGUUGGAAACCAGUGCUCUAGUGACAAAGUAAUCAAUCCACUUCGAUGUUGUGCUUUGCUGAAAAGUUUGAUGAAUCUAUGGUUCAGGUCAGGGAGAGCAGGGGGGGAUUAAGGCCAUCCUUAUUUUAACCUCAACACACCCCAUAAUGAUAUCUACAAUAAACAAUCAUAAUGUCCUGUCAGUGAGACCCGUCAUGUGUGUGAAAUGCUGAAGAAUGAUACAGUACCUUGAAGAAUCAGCCUGCUGGAUUUGAAAUGAUCAUGACCAUGUCCGAAUCUGAACAGUGAGUAGGGAAGCGUUCAUUUCUCUUUUUAAAUGCCUGGUAUGCUUUGCUUUUGAGUUCUGAGCACACAGACACUGUCUUCUGUUGCUAACCUAUCACCUUCAAGAGAGAUUCUAAAAUCAUGCUGACCUGUGACUGAUUAAAGCUCACUACUCAUAAAUGGGUCCUACGGUUAGUUUACAAACAGAAACAAACAAAUACAGGAACAGGUAAUAUUAAGCAAAGCAUGCAGGUCUAAACAUGUCUAAAGAAAUUUACUUUUUUAAAAUAUUCAUAAAUGUCCUAGCAUUAAAACCAAUCACCGCAAG